UGGGGAAUAUUGGACAAUGGGCGAAAGCCUGAUCCAGCAAUGCCGCGUGAGUGAUGAAGGCCUUAGGGUUGUAAAGCUCUUUUACCCGGGAUGAUAAUGACAGUACCGGGAGAAUAAGCGCCGGCUAACUCCGUGCCAGCAGCCGCGGUAAGACGGAGGGCGCAAGCGUUGUUCGGAAUUACUGGGCGUAAAGCGCGGGCAGGCGGUCUGUUAAGUCGUUUGUGAAAAUCCGGAGCUCAACUCCGGAAAUGCGUACGAUACUGGCAGGCUGGAGACUGGUAGAGGCUAGCGGAAUUCCUGGUGUAGCGGUGGAAUGCGUAGAUAUCAGGAAGAACACCUGUGGCGAAGGCGGCUAGCUGGGCCAGAUCUGACGCUCAUCCGCGAAAGCGUGGGGAGCAAA
Molecule: ribosomal RNA, 400 nt
Filed under: uncultured bacterium
Lineage: Bacteria
Description: bacterial SSU rRNA
Rfam family: Bacterial small subunit ribosomal RNA
Source: RNAcentral